AAAUAAGAAGCAAAUUUGCAUUCAGUUUCGACCUGACGUUUGGUGACUCUUCACCCUUAUUUA
RNAcentral lists this transfer RNA (63 nucleotides) under Conocephalus melaenus. RNAcentral's name for it is "tRNA-Arg". The record is from RNAcentral. Lineage: Eukaryota; Metazoa; Arthropoda; Insecta; Orthoptera; Tettigoniidae.